Long non-coding RNA from Uranotaenia lowii, 8259 nucleotides. RefSeq lists it as uncharacterized. The transcript is spliced from 3 exons. The record is from RefSeq and is a predicted model, not a curated record. NCBI's taxonomy places the organism in Eukaryota, Metazoa, Arthropoda, Insecta, Diptera, Culicidae.
AAAAACUUUUUUGGAAUUGUUGCAUUUUAUCACCAUAUCAGAACAUAAAAAUGUAUUUAUGGUAUUUGUCUAAAUUAAAUUGGUCCUGUUAUAUCGUAAAGUAAAAGGUAAUGUUGUUUCUAAAAACCGUUAAAUGUAGGUAAACCCUUCAAAAAUAGUUCUAGGAGAAUUUCUCUUAUUCCAUGAUUCGAAAUAUAAUAGGUGGGUAACGAUUUUUUUUUUUGUUUUUUUUUUGUUUUUCUGGGAUUUUAACACUCUCGUGUUAUUCAUCCCCUAUCCUCCGUGUCAAGUGAAGUACUGGUUGCCAGUUAUAUUUGUGAUAUCAGACUGCUCUUUUUCAGGAAAUCCAAAACUUUCUUUUCUUCGUCCGGGCAAUUUGAUAGAAGCUGUCUCAGGUUAAUUCCAAUUUUGGUUUCUAUACGGGCUUGAUGGUAUAUUGGGCAAGAUAAUAAUAUGUGUUUUAUACUUUGGGCUACACAUAAGGUAGGAUCUUUUUUGUCCAUCAAAUACUCGUGGGUCAGUCUGGUGUGUCCAAUGCGAAGGCGCGUAAAUAACCGUCUUUCGUGAAACGGUAAACGGUCAGUCCAAGUUUCGGUGGAAUUCUUAAUUUCUCUCAACUUGUUGUUGGUGAUAUUGUUCCAUUCCUGAGACCAAUAUUGGCUGAUGUACCGUUUUAACCAUUUUACAGCAUCUGUAGAAGGAACGGCCUGUUCUGGAGGAUCCAGUCGCCCACCAGCUACAGCAAGUUGGUCUGCUUUCUCGUUGCCUGGGAUCUGUGAGUGUCCGGGAAUCCAACACAAAGUACCAUCAUGUCACCAUCUACCGCCCAGUUAAGCGGUUUUUCAACUUCAAACAUGUAUAACAAAAAAACGACGGCAGAUUUUUAUUCGCUUCCUUUUGCAAUACAUCUCAAAACUGCUCUAGUUUCAUUAAAAAAUUUAGUGGAAUGCGAAAAAUGUACGCUUUUCAUAAUAAUUAACUAAACUUAGGGGUGUUCCACUGGCCCUAUUACCGCCCACUUAACUUUUUCGGGUAUCGAUAAUGUUUUCUCAAGGAAAAACUAUCUAACAACACGGAAACUGUUCUUUUUAGUAUUUUCCAUGUAGCGAGCUGUCAAAACCAUAUUUUGGAACUUGAGAGAAUACAUUUUGAGAAAUUUUCCCCGCAAAUUUUGUACAAAUUUUAACAAAGUGCAUUGACUGACAAAAUGAUGAUUCCCGGCAAACAGCCUCAAGUAACCGGUUGCUUUCAGCGAUAAAACAUCAUUUUCUAACAUAAUCCAACUAAAUGCAUCUUACAAUUUACACAUUUGACACAAUACUUGCGUUAAAAAAAAGAAAUUGUGCGUGACCGGUCAUUAGGAACCCACACUUUUUUUAUACACCAAUUACCGCCCAUCACUAAACGCUUCAAGAAACAACAACUAUUGAAAGCUUCGAAAAUUUCCCGAUGCAAAUCUGUUCUACGAAAAUAAAACUAUCAUUUCAAGUCGAUUUUAGGUCAAAUAGGGACUAUCUAGUAAAUAAAAAUCCUCUUUGCCCUAGAAGUACAGUAAUGCUUAGUUCGCUAACAGGCGUCGAAUUCAACAAUUUGACCGGAAACCAAAAACCAAACAUUUUAUUCCUGGCUAUAGUUAGCAUAAUUAAGUGAUGUUUUUUCAAUGAAAUGGUCGAACAAUGAUGCCGACACAGAACACAGGUCUUAUUUUUGGAGAAAACAUCCCAGUUUUUUUCAAAAUACAAACAAAAGUGUGAUUUUGGGCGGUAAAUGGUGUCUGGGCGGUGAAUGGUGACUUGAUGGUAAUACCUUUCUGAACGGCAAUUUUGGAAAGUUCGGCUAUCCAGGGAUGUUUGGUAUUUCCAGCUGCGAUUGCAUUCAACACACUGACCGAAUCUGAGAAUAUCACAGAGCCUGGGGGACAUACACUUUGAGCCGCUGAUAGUAUGGCAUAAGCUUCGGAGCUGAAGACCGAGCAAAUACCGGGAAGCGAGAGUGAAAUGUUGAUGUUCUCACUGUGAAUGCCACAGCCAACACGGCCGUCAGAAGUUUUCGAUCCGUCGGUGUAGAAUUUGGGGAUGCCUCUGUAUUUUGUGAUAAUAAGGUGGUAGAAUUGUGGCAGCGCUAUCGAUGGGUUCACCCCCGCUUUCAGUUUUGAGAUUAGAGAAAGGUCGGUUUUAGGAAUUGGCAGAUUCCAUUUGUGCAAUCUGGGUUCUGUGCGAGAGCUGAUAGGUGGAAUUGUAGUUUGUAUGUCGCUCAAUAGUUUUACAGCUCGUAAAACCAGUGGGGCUUCCGUACAGCGGUCAAAUGAGAGCCAUCUGAUUGCCUUAGUUGAGAUAUUCUUGGCUAAUAUAAACACAGAAAAAAAUAAUGAAUAUCACGUGUACUUGAAAAUGGUUGCACGUAAAAUAAUAGAACCUGUAAAAUAAUAAACCUGUAAUUUUGAAAGUAUUUGACUGAAAGCUAAAAUUAAUUAUUCAAUAUUACAGUAGAUGUCCUGUAACAAAAAGGAGCAUGACAUUUGCUGUAAUUUUACAGGCCAUUCAAUUUAAUUUUAAUUGAGCAUGUCUUUUAAAGGCUUAGGGAGUUUGAUAAGCCCAAAUUUGAAGUCAUUUAAACAAAAAAAAGGUGUAUGCGUGAGCAACCAUGCCCAUAGAUGUGAUGCAUCGACUAGGUAGGUAAGGGUAGGUAUAUAUUACAGUUUAAAAAAUGCUAAACAAGAUUGGUGUUUUUAGGUGGUGAAUAUACAAUUCCAGCCGUUUCCAUAAUUUUAUGUUUAGCACGGACUCGAACCUCGAUUAUUCUGUCAGAUAAUCGUGUUUUGUUUUGUUUCCGCAAAAUUCAAACGCGGAGUGGAAGAUAUCUUGCUGUUUUUUUUUGUUUAUGCUUGUCCCGCUGGGGGACGACUGAAUUCUGCUAUUUCUACUCGGUAAGUACCACAUUUUUAUGAAAACAGAAAUCCAAUUUGAAACAAAACUUCAUUUUCAGCCAGAUGCAUAGAAAAAUUUGCCUCCACGGUCGAAGGCUAGAAGAAUGGAACCAGCAGCUGACAUGGAGCGGAUUCUUGAGCUGAAAAUCCGGAUAUUUGCGUUGCCGGGUGGAAAAUGUUGAUGCCUCUUUCCGAGAGAUCAAUUCGUUCCGGUGCAUUUCUCUUGAAUCAGCAAUCGAGAACAAUUGUCACAACUGGAACUCGGGCCUAAAAUUCUUAACUGCGAAGCGGCAUGGAACGGAUCGGAAAGGAUUUAUCUACAGUAAAAAGGCACCUGGUGAGUUUUGUUUAGUUUCAUUAUAUGUAAACAUUUUGUUUUUAUUUCAGAUAUUUCUGUUUCUGUUUUAAUCCUUUAGUCUUCCUGAUGGUGCCGCUCUGCUCGGUUUUCGUCAGGUUAUCAUAAUCUCGAAAUAACCAAGAUCCAAAGAAAGACUCAGAUUUAAUGGAUAGAAUGACCGGCCGUGGCAGGUCUCAAGGCGAGGAAACCGAACUGGCGAGCCACUGUGUCUUAAAAAACGGAAGGCGAUUACAACACUAACCUCACUGGAGAAAUCCAAACGCUCCCAGUUGGAAUUGAGUCGUCGAAGGAAAUUGAUUCCACAAAAGCACUAUGUAUUCGUUGCAGAAGCAGAGUAUUUUAUAAUCAGUCUUGCAACAAGUUAUUGCAAGCCUCCAACUGAUGUGCUGAUACCUACUUCAAAUUGCUGUCAGCUAGAAAUACGUACCUAUAGGAACUGUGAGUAAUAUUGUUAGAUGUAUUAUUACCAUUAUUUGCUAGUUUUGCAAUACUUUGCAUCGUUUGUAAUAAUGGAAAAUUAAUAUGGUUAGAAAUGCAAAAAAAGUUCUUCCUGCUUAGGAAUGAUAAGUGCAAGUUUUAUAGGCAAAUUGUGUUUUUUUAUCUUGUCUUAGAACAUCGAUAGUAUUAAAAACAUUAAUCAGACAAAUUGAAUCAGUUAUUAGUGACAUUUUUCUUCUUCUCUUGAUUAAGACUGGAAAUACUAGAUACUAAAGAAGAACCUCACAUAAUGACCGGCUGAAGCAGACAUAAUUUACACAAGGCUUGAAUUCGUUAGCAAUGAGCAAAGGUUUGGAGUUAAUUGAAUGGAAAAAAAUAAGCAUAAAAUGGCAGAACUUUUCCCUUUAUUUACAAAGAAAUAACCUAGAAACUAACGGAUGAAUUCAAAAUGACUUCAAAUUGUAGUGAUUUAAAAAAAAAAUGCUGAAAUUUAGACAAACAAUGUCCGGAUAUAUUCGACUAUUCUGCUACAAUUUUAGUAAUAAAAAUUGUUGUGUGAGGUUAUUAAAACCAUUAAAACAUAAUUAAAAAAUUGUUCAUUGAUGUACAUAUUGAGGUUAAUGUAAUAAAUAAAUAAUGUAUAUACGCAAUUUGUUUCAUUCAAUGAUUAAAUUCCACUCUAUUAUAGUGAAUCGAAACGAUUAAAUAACGCCCAGGUGGUUUUACUGGUCGUUUGAAAUUACAGGACGUUUGCAAUUACAGGUCGCUUGCAAUUACAGAUCGCUUGCAAUUACAGGUCGCUUGCAAUUACAGGCCUGUAAUUUUGAACUAGCCUGUGAAUUGCCAUGUCCUCGACCUGUAAAAUUACUGUAAAUGUCCUGCUCCUUUUUGUUACAGGACAUUUACUGUAAUUCUACAGAAAAUAAUUUUUGCUGUGAACUUAAAUGGCAGUUGGCCGCUUUCAGCCAUAAGAGAUGUUAUUGGACUGCUUCUGAAUGCUCCACUAAUGGUGCGGAUUGCUUGGUUGUAUGCAGGUUGUAGUUUCUUUAGGGUAUAAUCAUAACCACGGCCAAACAGACCGAUGCCAUGAAGCAUCGUGGGUAGCAGCCAGCCAUGGAGGAAUAGUAGUAGUGAUGAACGGGAUCCUGCCCCGUUGGGGGUACAUAGUUUCUUCAAUAUGUUGAGUUUAUUGUUUGCUAUCUUUCGGACCCGGUUGAUGUGAUUGGUCAUCAAUCCACACUCCAAGUAUUCGGGCGGUCCGGACUAGAGGUAUAGUUUUGUUUUGCAGGGUAAGCGGGGGAAUUGUCUUUUUCUGUUGGGUCCAAAGUGCAGCAAUUUGGAUUUGUCAGGGGCGAAGGUGAAUCCAACUGAAGGCUCCCAAUCUUCCAGUUUGUUCACAGCGUGCUGUAAAUUCUUACGGGCGAGUCGAGAAUAAGGAGAUGUAGCUAGGAGAAUGAGGUCGUCAGCAUACGCCAGUGUUUCUAUUUGAUCACCUAGGUCUCGUUGUGGCUUGGGGGGUGGAUGUCUCUAGGAAGAUUGAGAUGGGAAAGUGGUCGCUUCCGUAGGUGUCAUCCAGCACUUUCCACCUAAUUUUUGAGCUCAAAUUCCCUGAAACAGUAGAGAGGUCUAAGGCUGAAGUGUUUCCGGUUGAGGGACAGACUCGGGUGGGCAGUGAGUCAUUAAGGAUAAUGAAGUUUUGGUUAUCUACGAAACUUUCAAUGAAAGAUCCUUUUCUGUCGGUUUGUGUUGCACCCCAUGAUGUGGAAUGCGCAUUGAAGUCACCCAUGAUUAAAACUGGUUCUGGGAGUUGGGUUAUGAUAUUUUCUAAUUCCUCGCAAAACUCUGCGAAUGGCUGUUUUGGGGAAAUGUAGGCGGAGACUAUGGUGAUUUCGACGGGAGAUUUUAGACGGACUGCCACUAUAUUGAGAGUAGAACUGAUCCCUAGGGGAGUAUAAGGGAAUCCAAUUUUUACGGCUAGCCCGGUGCCUUGCAGGCCCGGAUGAUGAUGGAGAUGUAGAUGGUAGCCUUUAAUAACAUCUUUUGGGAUAAGAUGUGGUUGAGCCAUAGUUUCUUGGAGGGCAAAAACAAUCGGAGAGUAAUGGGUGGAAAGGAUUUGCAGUUCGGAGGUACGUGCUCGUAGGCCGAGAAGAUUCCAUUGGAUAGCUAAGCAUUGUUUGUUUUUUCUGGUUGGUCUAUUGUUGUUGGAAGAGCUAUUGCUGUCAGGCAUGUUUAUGUUGUGGGUGUGGGAGUUCAUAUUGCACAUGUGUGGAGCCAUUAGGAGUGAUUUAUUGGAACGGAUUUACCGUUUUUUUUGUUGGUUGUAGGGACGAGUAUUCUGGGGGUUGGAAGGGCCUGAUUGGGGGUCUGAUUCGAAGCACGGUUUCUUAGGGGUUGAGUUGGGUUUGGUAGAUUGGUCAUUAUUAGUUUUGGGGCUGCGUCGGCCGCGCUUUGAUGCUUUUGAGUUGGCUUGGCUGCUGACUGUAAUAGUGGUGGUUCCCGAUUGAUCCGAGUUUUCCGUUUCAGAUGAAGAUUCCAAUUCCGGGCUCGCUAGAAGUAGUUGAAGUUGUGUGGUGAGUUGGGCUACUCGCUGUUCCAAUUCUUGUAUCCGAAGGUCUUUGGCGUUUUCCUGAUUUGAUGAUGUGGUAAGGCGUUGCUGAAUUUGGCUGAUGUUUUGAGCUGCUUUUUGGCGGUUUCGGAACUCUCUUACUGCUGCACCCUGGGAAAUCCCGGAAUCAAUUCGGAUUUUGACGAUUUCUUGUUCCUCCAGCUGGACGGGACAAGAGCGGCUCAUGGCAGAAUGACACCCAUCACAGUUAAGGCAAUGUGGAUCCUUGGUGCAUUCAGUAUGUGCGGGAGAUUCUCCACAAAUAAGACAUUUUUCUUUUUGUUGACAUCGUGUCUUCGAGUGCCCGAAUUUGCCGCAGUUCCUGCAAAAGAGAGGCCUCGGGUAGUAUGGUCGGGUAGGUAUGCGGAUGAAACCGAAGUAAAUAUAAUCCGGAGCGACAGUUCCACUUAUCGUCAGGACCAUAGAAUUCGUUGGCACUGAUUUUCCAUCCACUUUUUUGAUGAAAGGGUACACCUUGGUAACGCCUUGAUCCGCAAGAUUUUCCUGGAUCUCCUCGUCAGAAAGUCCAUGAACUUCUCUACAGGAUACCACUCGCUGGCAGGUGUUAAGUGAUGGGUGUGGCGCGAUGUUGAUUUUUGUUCCAUCAAUCAGUUCCGAAAGUUGUUGCAGUUGGUUGAAUUGGUCGAUGCUUCGAAUUUUCAAUAGAUAGGCCUCUCCGUUGUUGAUAGGGUUUGCCCCAUCAAUUCUACCGACGGCCCGGUCGAUGGACUUAGCAACAACAAAUGGAUUGUUUGGAAGUUUGUUGUUCUCUCCAGCUCGCAGUACAAGAAAUUGAAUAUCGCCAUGAAGUCCUUUUGGAUCCAUCCAAGACGGAAGCGUCCGUCUGAAAUUUUGUUUAGAAUUCUGGGUCCGGUUGGCCCAAGGUGGAUUAGGAUCCACCAUCCUUUUGGAAGAAUAUCCGAGAGUUGCCUCUAUUUGAAGUCACUUUCAAUUUUCACGUUGUGGGAACUAUCACCAGAAACAAGAUGUUGUUUGGAUGUCCGUGAUAGUGACACCAGGCAAGAAAAACACGUGUGCGGAGAGGAGCAAAAUUAAAAACCGUCCGAACCCGAUGACUAUCGCCGAGUGAAUGUGGUGGGUAACGAGGUUUUAAAAAUAACCAUUAGUUGAAAUGACAAAGAACCAACAUAACAAAACAACUUUUCUUCAGUUUUGCAUAUAAAUUUAUUUACACAUACAUAUCGAUUGAUCUAAAUACUCAUUCAUUAAAAAAAACUUAAGAUUUGGAUGUAAAUUUGAAAAUACAGAAUCUUAAAUUUCACCAUUCAAUCAUUUGUAGUCUUAAUUGGGAAUAUGAUCGAAUCUAAAACCUGAAAUCUGAAAGUGUUAAAUUCAAAUAUAAAAUCUGCAUUUGCAAUCUAGAUCCGAAUUUGAAUCUGAGAUUGAAAUAUGAAUCUGAAAUCUGAAUUUGAAUCUAGGACUCACUUAGUUUGAAGUUUGUCUCACAAAAUUAGCUGUUGCUUUGUCAAAUCUCAAUUUUCUCAUUUUUUUCCUACUCUCACUAAAAUAGCUGUAUCUCUCUUCCACGUGCACGCAAAAUGUUUGAAACUCAAUAAAUGAAAAGUUCAUACAUUUAUUUAACUUGUGUGAAAGUUUCAUGAAAAAAUGUCAAUUAUAAGAGAAAUGGCAGUCUGUCAAAGUUCGAUGUAAGUGCGCUGCUCUCUGCACUUUUUUGAACGCAACUGUAUAUAAAAAGAGAAGGAGAGAUGAUUUUGUAUGAGGGCUCUCCUUCCAUGAAAGUGAGAUUCUUGAAACUAUUAUACAAACCAUCUCGGAUACCAAAUUUCACUUCAUUCCAUGAUGGAGUUUCAAAGAAAUGGAGAAGUGAAGAAAAGUUAGAAAAAUAGAAGAAAAGUAAGGAAAAAGUGAAGAAAAGGAGGGAAAUAAGAACAAAAGGAAAAAGGAGUUGAU